AGUGAACGCUGGCGGUAGGCCUAACACAUGCAAGUCGAACGGCAGCACAGUAAGAGCUUGCUCUUACGGGUGGCGAGUGGCGGACGGGUGAGGAAUACAUCGGAAUCUACUUUUUCGUGGGGGAUAACGUAGGGAAACUUACGCUAAUACCGCAUACGACCUACGGGUGAAAGCAGGGGAUCUUCGGACCUUGCGCGAUUGAAUGAGCCGAUGUCGGCUUAGCUAGUUGGCGGGGUAAAGGCCCACCAAGGCGACGAUCCGUAGCUGGUACGAGAGCAUGGUUGGGCAGACUGUAUCAGAGACUGGGCCGAGACACCGAGGGUGGGCCGCAGUGGGGAAUAUUGCACGAUGGACGCAAGCCUGAUCCAGCCAUACCGGGUGGGGGAAGAAGGACUUCUGGUUGUAAAACCCUUUUGUUGGGAAAGAAAAGCAGCAGUUUAACACCCCGCUGUUCUGACGGUACCCAAAGAAUAAGCACCGGCUAACUUCGUG
RNAcentral lists this ribosomal RNA (492 nucleotides) under uncultured bacterium. RNAcentral describes it as "partial 16S ribosomal RNA". It matches the Rfam family "Bacterial small subunit ribosomal RNA", at positions 29 to 507 of the family's 1533-position model. The record is from RNAcentral.